CCUACGGGCCGCACCAGUGGGGAAUCUUGCGCAAUGGGCGAAAGCCUGACGCAGCAACGCCGCGGGGGGGAUGAAGGCUCUCGGGUCGUAAACCCCUUUCAGCAGGGACGAAACUGACGGUACCUGCAGAAGAAGCCCCGGCCAACUACGUGCCAGCAGCCGCGGUAACACGUAGGGGGCAAGCGUUGUCCGGAUUUAUUGGGCGUAAGGAGCUCGUAGGUGGUUCGGUAAGUCAGGUGUGAAACCUCCAGGCUCAACCUGGAGACGCCACUUGAUACUGCUGUGACUGGAGUCCGGUAGGGGAGCGUGGAAUUCCUGGUGUAGCGGUGAAAUGCGCAGAUAUCAGGAGGAACACCAGCGGCGAAGGCGGCGCUCUGGGCCGGUACUGACACUGAGGAGCGAAAGCGUGGGUAGCAAACAGGAUUAGAUACCCCCGUAGUC
This 441-nucleotide ribosomal RNA is filed under the name uncultured bacterium. RNAcentral's name for it is "bacterial SSU rRNA". It matches the Rfam family "Bacterial small subunit ribosomal RNA", at positions 338 to 795 of the family's 1533-position model. The record is from RNAcentral.